CUGGUUCUUUGUCUCUUCUGAGCUUAACUAUCUUAUCUGCAAUUCCAUUCUCUUCUCUAGGGAUGUGCUGAAGGUUCCAAUGACAUAGUAACUUUAAACUCGAUAGAAUUCUCCUAAUUAAGACAGAAUUAGAGCCUUCUCAAACUCCUUCAUGAAUAAGGUUAACCGCUUCAAGAUUAUCUGUCUGAAUAAAAACUUUCCGAAAGCCACGAUCAAGAGUAAUUUGCAACCCGUCAAGAAUGCCCC
This 246-nucleotide long non-coding RNA is filed under the name Gossypium barbadense (sea-island cotton). RNAcentral describes it as "long non-coding RNA (GBAR_LNC001450)". Lineage: Eukaryota; Viridiplantae; Streptophyta; Magnoliopsida; Malvales; Malvaceae. The record is from RNAcentral.